CCUUCUCCUAUGACAUUCCAUGAAGGGAGUUGUGGGCAGAGUCAGGUUGUACUGGGGUUGCAGAAACAGAGGAAUCUUUAUAGGAUCAUCUCUAUGUUUAGGCAUCAAUCCACCGUAGAAAGAACCAUCCAGUAGCCUGGGCAACAUAGCAAAACCCCAUCUCUGCAAAAAAUAAAGAAAAAAAUUAGCCGAGCAUAAUUGGUGUGUGCCUGUAGUCCCAGCUACUUGGGAGGCUGAGGUGGGAGGAUCGCUUGAGCCCAAGAGGGAGAGGUUGCAGAAGGCUGAGAUCUCACCACUGCACUCCAGUCUGGGCAACAGAGCAAGAAAGACCCUGUGAAAGAGAGAGAGAGAAAGAAAGAAGAGAGAGAGAGAAAGGGAGAAAGAGAGAAAGGGAGAAAGAG
RNAcentral lists this long non-coding RNA (401 nucleotides) under Homo sapiens (human). RNAcentral's name for it is "non-protein coding lnc-PELI1-6:1". The record is from RNAcentral. Lineage: Eukaryota; Metazoa; Chordata; Mammalia; Primates; Hominidae.